GAUAGUGCAGUUUUGAGCGGUUUGUUGGCGUUAGAGUGGGCGAGGCUUUAUGGGUCAACAAAACAAACAAACUUGCACUGCGUCUACUGCUCUUCCAAAUUGUAAAGUUCCCGAGUAUGCACAGGCAGACGGACAGGGCCAGAUGGACUCGUAAAUAAUAUAUGGUUGGCAAUGCAACUUCGACAAUUUUUUUGCGCUUGGGACAAGGAUCGCUGCUUAUUGGACUGGAGCUGGCUGUGCUGCUGUGAUAGCUGCUGGUUCCAGACGAGUCCCCCACACCGCUGGAGCCUUGGCCGUAGAAUUGCAGGGAUCCGUGGAACUUGCAGUGCUUCUUCUUUUGGCAGGCCUCGACGACAGUUUGCAGUAAAGAGUACUGAGGAUGGAAGGAACAAACACAAGAAUAAGUUUUUCUCCCGACCUAUUAUUAAUACUCCUUAUAAAGUGCAUGCACACCAAAAGGAAAAUAUAGCGAAAACCUCUCCUUUUAGCUUGUUAUUAUACAUAUUCAUCGUAGAGUAAAAACAAGAGAAAAGGCAAUAUUCGAUUUCCUUAACUAUCAGAAUGAACAGAACGAGUGCUUUUUGCGGCUUGUGGUUUUAAAGUUGAAAGCCAAAUAAUAUAAUGAGCAAAAAUACAAA
Drosophila yakuba is the source of this 638-nucleotide long non-coding RNA. RefSeq lists it as uncharacterized. The transcript has 3 exons. Lineage: Eukaryota; Metazoa; Arthropoda; Insecta; Diptera; Drosophilidae. The record is from RefSeq and is a predicted model, not a curated record.